RNAcentral lists this transfer RNA (70 nucleotides) under Dipodomys ordii (Ord's kangaroo rat). It matches the Rfam family "tRNA". Rfam says of the family: Transfer RNA (tRNA) molecules are approximately 80 nucleotides in length. Their secondary structure includes four short double-helical elements and three loops (D, anti-codon, and T loops). Further hydrogen bonds mediate the characteristic L-shaped molecular structure. tRNAs have two regions of fundamental functional importance: the anti-codon, which is responsible for specific mRNA codon recognition, and the 3' end, to which the tRNAs corresponding amino acid is attached (by aminoacyl-tRNA synthetases). tRNAs cope with the degeneracy of the genetic code in two manners: having more than one tRNA (with a specific anti-codon) for a particular amino acid; and 'wobble' base-pairing, i.e. permitting non-standard base-pairing at the 3rd anti-codon position. Lineage: Eukaryota; Metazoa; Chordata; Mammalia; Rodentia; Heteromyidae. The record is from Rfam by way of RNAcentral.
GGGAAAGUGGCUCAGUGGUAGAGCUCUUGUCUUGCAUGCAUGAGGCACUGGGUUCGAUUCCUCAGCACCA